UACGUAGGGUGCAAGCGUUGUCCGGAAUUAUUGGGCGUAAAGAGCUCGUAGGCGGUCUGUCGCGUCGGAUGUGAAAAUCCAGGGCUCAACCCUGGACCUGCAUUCGAUACCGGCAGACUAGAGUUCGGCAGGGGAGACUGGAAUUCCUGGUGUAGCGGUGAAAUGCGCAGAUAUCAGGAGGAACACCGGUGGCGAAGGCGGCAUCCUGGACCGAGAUUGACGCUGAGGCGCGAAAGCUAGGGUAGCAAACGGG
RNAcentral lists this ribosomal RNA (253 nucleotides) under uncultured bacterium. RNAcentral describes it as "partial 16S ribosomal RNA". It matches the Rfam family "Bacterial small subunit ribosomal RNA", at positions 524 to 776 of the family's 1533-position model. The record is from RNAcentral.